UACGAGGGGGGCAAGCGUUGUUCGGAAUUAUUGGGCGUAAAGGGUGUGUAGGCGGUUCUUUAAGUUUGGUGUGAAAUCUCCCGGCUCAACCGGGAGGGUGCGCCGAAUACUGAGGAGCUAGAGUGCGGGAGAGGAAAGUGGAAUUCCUGGUGUAGCGGUGAAAUGCGUAGAUAUCAGGAGGAACACCGGUGGUGUAGACGGCUUUCUGGACCGUAACUGACGCUGAGACACGAAAGCGUGGGUAGCAAACAGG
RNAcentral lists this ribosomal RNA (253 nucleotides) under uncultured bacterium. RNAcentral's name for it is "partial 16S ribosomal RNA". It matches the Rfam family "Bacterial small subunit ribosomal RNA", at positions 524 to 776 of the family's 1533-position model. The record is from RNAcentral.